AUUGAACGCUGGCGGCAGGCCUAACACAUGCAAGUCGAGCGGAUGAAGGGAGCUUGCUCCUGGAUUCAGCGGCGGACGGGUGAGUAAUGCCUAGGAAUCUGCCUGGUAGUGGGGGAUAACGUCCGGAAACGGGCGCUAAUACCGCAUACGUCCUGAGGGAGAAAGUGGGGGAUCUUCGGACCUCACGCUAUCAGAUGAGCCUAGGUCGGAUUAGCUAGUUGGUGGGGUAAAGGCCUACCAAGGCGACGAUCCGUAACUGGUCUGAGAGGAUGAUCAGUCACACUGGAACUGAGACACGGUCCAGACUCCUACGGGAGGCAGCAGUGGGGAAUAUUGGACAAUGGGCGAAAGCCUGAUCCAGCCAUGCCGCGUGUGUGAAGAAGGUCUUCGGAUUGUAAAGCACUUUUAGUGGGGAGGAAGAGCAGUAAGUUAAUACCUUGCUGUUUUGACGUUACCAACAGAAUAAGCACCGGCUAACUUCGUG
This 484-nucleotide ribosomal RNA is filed under the name uncultured bacterium. RNAcentral's name for it is "partial 16S ribosomal RNA". It matches the Rfam family "Bacterial small subunit ribosomal RNA", at positions 30 to 507 of the family's 1533-position model. The record is from RNAcentral.